Molecule: ribosomal RNA, 477 nt
Filed under: uncultured organism
Description: partial 16S ribosomal RNA
Rfam family: Bacterial small subunit ribosomal RNA
Source: RNAcentral
ACGUACACUCCUGCGGGAGGCAGCAGUGGGGAAUAUUGCACAAUGGGCGCAAGCCUGAUGCAGCCAUGCCGCGUGUAUGAAGAAGGCCUUCGGGUUGUAAAGUACUUUCAGCGGGGAGGAAGGCAAUACGGUUAAUAACCGUGUUGAUUGACGUUACCCGCAGAAGAAGCACCGGCUAACUCCGUGCCAGCAGCCGCGGUAAUACGGAGGGUGCAAGCGUUAAUCGGAAUUACUGGGCGUAAAGCGCACGCAGGCGGUCUGUCAAGUCGGAUGUGAAAUCCCCGGGCUCAACCUGGGAACUGCAUUCGAAACUGGCAGGCUUGAGUCUUGUAGAGGGGGGUAGAAUUCCAGGGGUAGCGGUGAAAGGCGUAGGGAUCUGGAGGAAUACCGGUGGCGAAGGCGGCCCCCUGGACAAAGACUGACGCUCAGGUGCGAAAGCGUGGGGAGCAAACAUGAUUAGAAACCCGUGUAGUCCCA